This 216-nucleotide long non-coding RNA is filed under the name Olea europaea (common olive). Its description in RNAcentral is "long non-coding RNA (OEUR_LNC009074)". The record is from RNAcentral. Lineage: Eukaryota; Viridiplantae; Streptophyta; Magnoliopsida; Lamiales; Oleaceae.
UCAACUUUUGAAAAUAUGUCUAAUUUUCCUUGUUUUUAAGGAAAAUAUUUUUCUUGGGUAGAGGUGGUUUUUAUUUUCUACAAAAGAUGGAAAACGUUAUCUCUUCUAGGUGAUAUUUUUCAUGUCAAUCAAACACACUCUUAGAUAAAAAUCUCCUCAAAGAAAAAUCCUUAAGGACUUGCUCUUAAGCAAUCCGACUAAGGGUUGCAUGUGCCA